AAUAUCCUUUGCUUUGAAGUCAAAGUUUCUCUUUUUCAACAUGGCUUGGGAGUGUGUUUGGCCAAAUUUGAAUACGUAUUAUGUCUCCUGAGACAAUUAAAACUUGUCUCCGAAAAGUGGGGGAUGGUAGCGGGAGUUAGUGGAGGGAAUUGACUUCUGAAGCCAGAGAAAGAAAUGUAGACAAAGUGAAAAUAUUACUAAAUAUUUAACGUAUAGAGGUUUGGGAGGUUGGCAUAGAAUUCAGUGAUGGAAAGAGAAACUUUGAACGGAAACAAUCAGCACUGUGUGGACCAUGGUAGCAAUAAUUACAGAAGAAGUAUAUGAAGACAUCUCUUGAAAUUCCCAUUAUACUUUACCUCAUUUAAGAGAACAUUGAAGGGCUAUGAGCCUUUUUUUGAAUUAUUCAUUUUUAAGUUAAAAUAUUAAUUGAAUAUUUUUGAGGGAUGAGAGGUCACCUUACGAAUGCCAAGAGACUCUGUAAUAUUUUAUAUUAUCCUAAAUCCCUUUUAAUGUUUUAGACCCCUCCAAUAGAUUGCUGAGGGCACUUGCUGCCUGCUCUUUUCCUUUCCAUUUUUAAAAAUGUAUUUUGAGCAGAGUACUGCUCGUCGAAAAUUCUUAAUGAAUUGCUUUAAAUUAUUUAAAUGUGUCUCUCAAUUUUAAACGUUUAUCACUGAUAUGUGUGUUUCUUUCUACCAACCCUAGAAAUUGUGUGCCUGCAAAGUCAGAAGGCACAUGCCUUGGAGGAAUUCAAAAUGCAUUCUGGUUUAAGAGCCCAACAAUGCAGUCCUUAAUUUGAAAUCUCCAUCUCUUUGCAUUUCCUUAUCUUCUUAAAAUAUUUAGUUGGGGAUCUUAUGACAGGAAGUUCCCCCCCCCCUAGGGUUUCACUAUUUCCUGAACCAGACAUGGUACGAAAUAAAAAAUGCAUUGUAUUUCUCUUUGAAUUCAAAUCAAAAGAUGUUGGCUGACAAAGCCUGCUGAAUGUUCAAAAUAGAGGAUUAGAGGCAUUGCGCUGUAUCUGGUUUUAGCUCCAGGAACUGGUCUGAAAGUGUCUUCAAAGUGAGGGUAUAUAUGGCAGCCUCCAUCUCCCAAGCCUGAGGGUUGGCGGCCGGUCGGUCGUUGCCUGGAUAAAAUUCCCUACUCCAGCUUCUCUGCUGACUUCCCCCCUGCCCCUCUGAACUGCUGUGCUGUCUUUCAGGAUCUUCAAGAACAAGCCAACAACACAGUUGUGAGAUGAGAGCUUGAGUUCAGUUGUUUAGAUCACUUUUGUUUGCCAGGAAGUUUCCCCUUCUGGCAGUAAGGCAGCACAAAACAUAGUCCAGACUGCAUGGGGUUUGUCAGAUGAAAAAGUACUUGGUUGGCAAAGAAUGAGAUUUCACGGCUAAUUAUAGAUUCUUCUCCCUUAUUAGCUCUUUCAAUUGUUCAGCCUUACUUUGGAAGAGUUACGCUUCUACAUGAGAAAUUCUUCUACCAAAAAAAAAAAAAAAAAAAUGAGAGGCUGGAGAGAUGGCUCAGUGGUCAAGAGCACUGACUGCUCUUCCAGAGGUCCUGAGUUCAAAUCCCAGCAACCACAUGGUGGCUCACAACCAUCUGUAAUGGGAUCUGAUGCCUUCUUCUGGUGUGUCUGAAGACAGCUAUAGUGUAUUUAUAUAUAAUAAAUAAAUAAAUCU
Molecule: long non-coding RNA, 1667 nt
Filed under: Mus musculus (house mouse)
Lineage: Eukaryota; Metazoa; Chordata; Mammalia; Rodentia; Muridae
Description: long non-coding RNA chr6:22048061-22049728
Source: RNAcentral